GUUAAGUAGCUUAAUCCAAACCCAAGCACUGAAAAUCCUUAGAUUGGAUUUUUAUCCCCUUC
Molecule: transfer RNA, 62 nt
Filed under: Mus terricolor (Earth-colored mouse)
Lineage: Eukaryota; Metazoa; Chordata; Mammalia; Rodentia; Muridae
Description: partial tRNA-Phe
Source: RNAcentral